UACGUAGGGUGCAAGCGUUAAUCGGAAUUACUGGGCGUAAAGCGUGCGCAGGCGGUUUUGUAAGACUGUCGUGAAAUCCCCGGGCUUAACCUGGGAAUGGCGAUGGUGACUGCAAGGCUAGAGUUUGGCAGAGGGGGGUAGAAUUCCACGUGUAGCAGUGAAAUGCGUAGAUAUGUGGAGGAACACCGAUGGCGAAGACAGCCCCCUGGGUCAAAACUGACGCUCAUGCACGAAAGCGUGGGGAGCAAACAGG
This 253-nucleotide ribosomal RNA is filed under the name uncultured bacterium. RNAcentral describes it as "partial 16S ribosomal RNA". It matches the Rfam family "Bacterial small subunit ribosomal RNA", at positions 524 to 776 of the family's 1533-position model. The record is from RNAcentral.